This 505-nucleotide ribosomal RNA is filed under the name uncultured bacterium. Its description in RNAcentral is "bacterial SSU rRNA". It matches the Rfam family "Bacterial small subunit ribosomal RNA", at positions 8 to 526 of the family's 1533-position model. The record is from RNAcentral.
AGAGUUUGAUCAUGGCUCAGAAUCAACGCUGGCGGCGCGCUUAACACAUGCAAGUCGCACGAGAAAGGGGAGCAAUCCCUGAGUACAGUGGCGAACGGGUGAGUAACACGUGGGUGAUCUGCCCUGCACUUUGGGAUAAGCCUGGGAAACUGGGUCUAAUACCGAAUACACCUUCCUGGUUGCAUGGCUGGGUGGGGAAAGCUUUUGCGGUGUGGGAUGGGCCCGCGGCCUAUCAGCUAGUUGGUGAGGUAACGGCCCACCAAGGCGACGACGGGUAGCUGGCGUGAGAGCGCGGCCAGCCACACUGGGACUGAGACACGGCCCAGACUCCUACGGGAGGCAGCAGUGGGGAAUCUUGCACAAUGGGCGAAAGCCUGAUGCAGCGACGCCGCGUGGGGGAUGAAGGCCCUCGGGUUGUAAACCCCUUUCGACGGGGAAGAAGCGAAAGUGACGGUACCCGUAGAAGAAGCCCCGGCUAACUACGUGCCAGCCGCCGCGGUAAUAC